CACAAUUUGGCCGUAACAAGCCUUAACCCUUCUCUACGCGUACCUUAACAUUCUCCUUCGGCGUGGUAACACUCGUUGCGCGCCGUUGGUCAAACAAAACCCUUUUUGCAUCUAGUAUCUACCCGUUCUGAUAAAAAUACAAUCGUUA
Molecule: unclassified non-coding RNA, 148 nt
Filed under: uncultured fungus
Lineage: Eukaryota; Fungi
Description: sequence contains ITS1
Source: RNAcentral